Molecule: ribosomal RNA, 257 nt
Filed under: uncultured bacterium
Lineage: Bacteria
Description: partial 16S ribosomal RNA
Rfam family: Bacterial small subunit ribosomal RNA
Source: RNAcentral
UACGGGGGGGGGCAAGCGUUGUUCGGAAUUACUGGGCGUAAAGGGCUCGUAGGCGGCCAACUAAGUCGGACGUGAAAUCCCCAGGCUUAACUUGGGAACUGCGUCCGAUACUGGAUGGCUUGAAUCCGGGAGAGGGAUGCGGAAUUCCAGGUGUAGCGGUGAAAUGCGUAGAUAUCUGGAGGAACACCGGUGGCGAAGGUGGCGAUCCUGGACCGGUAUUGACGCCUGAGUGAGCGAAAGCCAGGGGAGCAAACGGG